GUCUCAAGAAACUUUUCCAAACAGUAAACUCAUGUCCAGAUUCAUCACAAGCCACAUUAUCCUCAUGAAAUGGCAGAAGACACUAGUUUGGUCCAAGGUUCUCCAAACAAAGUUAGUGGAUACAAUGUAGAGAAGAUAUAAGUUAAUUGUGAAACCUCAAAUAAAGGAUUUAUUACAGAGAAUGAAACUCUGUGAUGAACAAAAAAGAAACCUGAAAUGUGGAAGAUUGGCACAGAUAGGAGUGAGAGACUGAGAGAGGAGGGAGAGCGAGAGAGAUGGGGGAGAAGAUGAAUCAACUCAUUAAGCACAACUGAGUGAAGUCUGCUCCCAAAAUGAAUCUGGGACUUUUGGACAACCAAUAUCUGUGAGAUUUCUUUCAGUGGAGGUCGAGCCCUGGGGAUCAGGUUUCUAUGCUAGUACCUCCGCCUGAUCUGCUGGAACUUUAAUCUCAGUGGAGCAGCCAUAUGAAAAAGGACAGCCUCAUCUACUGGCCUUGGGGCUGAACAUCACCUAUGGUCAUAUCAGGAAGGCUCAGCAUACUUCCCAGACAGAGAUCAAUCAUUUCCUUACUCCCUCCUACUACUUCCUCAGCCUGAAAUCUCAUUUUAAAUUAUGAAACCAAAACCACCAGUCCAGGUCUCUUUCUUGCCACUGAAGAGGGAUUUGAUUUGUCCUCACCCACUGCCAACCCAUAUCAACAUGUCAUUAUGGAACGGGGGGAACAGACUGCUUCAGAUAAGUGCUCCCUUUAAAAAUGGACCAACGCAAAAGUUUUUAGACAACUGGAAAACAGAGAGCCCAUUGCUAAGAGAAGUUCACUGAAGAAACAGAAGAGUGUGAAAGGGCAAAGAGAAGCAGCAUUAUCACAGGGAAUGAAAAGAAAGAACUCAAAUCUCUAUAAUGUACCAGACACAAAGCAUUAAAAUACUCAGAAGACCAUCACCAAGGAUAUCUUUAUGAUUUCAGGUGAGAACAUCUCAGACAGUGUAAAUAACCCAUCAAUUCUAAAAUGCAU
RNAcentral lists this long non-coding RNA (1015 nucleotides) under Cricetulus griseus (Chinese hamster). RNAcentral's name for it is "lncRNA (ENSCGRG00000024634.1)". Lineage: Eukaryota; Metazoa; Chordata; Mammalia; Rodentia; Cricetidae. The record is from RNAcentral.